GAUGAAGAACGCAGCGAAAUGCGAUAAGUAAUGUGAAUUGCAGAAUUUAGUGAAUCAUCGAAUCUUUGAACGCAUAUUGCGCCCGCCAGCACUCUGGCGGGCAUGCCUGUUCGAGCGUCAUUUCAACCCUCAGGCCUCGCGUCUGGCGUUGGGGCGCUGCGGCCCUCCCGCAGGCCCCCAAAUCUAGCGGCGGAUCCGCCGCGGCCCUGAGCGCAGUAGUUAAUUUACUCAAACGCUCCGGCGGCCGUGGCGCGGUCUUGCCUCUCGCCCAAGAGCACUACCAAUAAUAGCCUCUCCCACAAAAAGUUGACCUCGGAUCAGGUAGGACUACCCGCUGAACUUAAGCAUAUCAAUAAGCGGAGGA
RNAcentral lists this unclassified non-coding RNA (364 nucleotides) under soil metagenome. Its description in RNAcentral is "partial contains 5.8S ribosomal RNA, internal transcribed spacer 2, and large subunit ribosomal RNA". The stretch from base 1 to 120 matches the Rfam family "5.8S ribosomal RNA", at positions 35 to 154 of the family's 154-position model. The record is from RNAcentral.